This is a long non-coding RNA of Equus asinus (donkey), 2124 nucleotides long. NCBI's taxonomy places the organism in Eukaryota, Metazoa, Chordata, Mammalia, Perissodactyla, Equidae. The record is from Ensembl.
UGAAAACUUCCCUUUGGGGGCAAGACCCUUGGACUUCAAUGUGGAGCUGGGGAGACUGGGAAAGGAGCAAAUGUGUCAACCUGGGCUUGAGCGGAGCUGCUUGUAAACUGAUGAUGGGGCGAGAGAUAAGCAUCACUGUUUCGGCUGUUAGAUAUGCACCCUGACCCUGUCCUACACUCAAGAGAAUCACAGUCAUUUUCCAAAGCUUUCUUUUUCCUGAGGAAGAUUCACCUGAGCUAACAUCUGUUGCCAGUCUUCUUCUUUUUGUACGUGAGCCCCCACCAUAGCACGGCCACUGACAGACGAGCGCUGUAGGUGCACGCCAGGGAACCUAACCUGGGCCGCCGAAGUGGAGCAUGCCGAACUUAACCGCUGGGCCACCGGGGCUGGCCCCCAAAGGUUUCUUUAAAAGAAAGGGUAAAUUACAUGCGUUAUUUCAGUGUUUGACAAUCUUCCCAUAUUUUACUAAAACACUGAUGUGGAAGCAGGAGGAUCCGAGGACCCACCAGCGUGGCCACAUUGGGAAAGUCAUGUUGCCCUCUCCGGGCCUCUCUUUCUUCACAAGGAACUGCUGCUGGUUCUUCGAUUUCUAGCUAAACUCUCACUGAUUGAACUGUCACAGCUAACUUUGACUGUUUAUUCAGUAACAACGCGAAUUUACAAAAGUAAAUUGCACCAGAGCUCAAUAAGAAUGGUCCAUCCUGAGUUGACGCCUGGGCCAGCUGCCUAGCUGAUUCUCCUUGCUCAUUUUUCUACAUCAGCCAGUAGAUCCGGCUAGAAUUCCAAGGCCUUGGACUUUGCUGGACUACGAAAAGGAAGAGGAAAGGGAAGCGAAUAGCCACCAGGAUGGAACCUGCUUUCCUGUGCUCUUCUAAGCUGCUUUCAGCUCCAGCUCUGCAGAGUUCAAAGCUCUGAGGAAGCCACUCUUAUUGCGUCCAAAAGAUUAUAGAAUGAUACAGUAGUCUAGGUUGGAACUAUACCAUCUGUUUAUGCCCUGAGAAUUUUAAAAACCAUCCCCAUGUUUACCAAUCUGAGCUCACAUGUCACAUAUGUGGGGAAAUAACUAAGUAGCUGCCAGGCAGAAGCAAGACUCUUCUUGUUCAGAAGCUCCGCACAGAAUCAGGUUAAUUCCUGAAAGCCUUUGUUAAGCGCACUGUUUGUCAUCCCCGUUGCCCAGGAGGGGGUGACGCUCGCAGCCCUCAGAUUGAUUUCUGUCACUUAGGAGUCUUUUAAAAUCAAGCAUAUGCUCCUCCUCUUAGCUGGUGUAUAUUCUCUCAGGCAUAGUUUCUCCCAACAAAUUCGUUUUUUUCUAUGUUGAAAUCACAUCGGGAGAGAGAACAUCUGCAAAUAUUGUAAGAAUCUCAGCUUCAUAUCCAUCACCCCACUGCACUUUGAACUCAGGCAAAUUCAAAGGGGACCUUGUACAGAGGAAACAUCCAUGGCUUGGGGCAAACAUUUCAUCACUCUAGCCUCUAAGUCUUCAAACAAACUCCUGGCAUGCUCCUGAAGGAGGCUGGCAGACUCUCUGUUGAUGCCUCCGAGCCACGACACUUCAGAUCCUUUUGCUUUUGUCUAUUACUUGUCCUGUCUCUUGCUGAUUAUUGUUGACUGUAGAGGCAAGCCAGCUUCUAUACACGACACAAUCACCCUUUGUCAACUAGAAUCUUUCCUAACGUUGAAUAACUCGGUCCGUAAACAAGGGCAACAUUCAUUCAUUUUCACUGUUUUCCAUUUUUUUUUAAUUAUCUCUUGUUGGUAAUUGAAUAUAUCAGUGAAUCCUUUCAUGGACAUGAUGGGGUUAAAAACGUUUGCAAAACACCUGAGGCUUAGUAUGAGCAGAGCAAGCACCCUGCAGACCAUGGUACCUGAGGCCAAGAACCCUGAUGGGUCACUGGUGGUGAGCUGAGCUUUCUCUGGAGAGCACAACUUUGAUGACGACCAUAGAAGUUCUCAGGGAGAGGGCAUCUGUACUUCCCAGAAAGAGCUAGAAGGAGAUUCUAAAGUGGAUGCUUGCUAUACUGUUUCCAGAAUCAUUCGACCAGGCAGGAGGUUGACACAAUUACCUGGAGGGUAUGGGUAGAAAGAACUCUACUUAUCUACAUAAUAAAAAAUAAAAAAAUCAAA